AACGAACGCUGGCGGCGCGCCUAACACAUGCAAGUCGAACGAGAAGCUGUAGCAAUACAGUUGUACAGUGGCGAACGGGUGAGGAAUACAUGGGUAACCUACCCUCGAGUGGGGAAUAACUAGCCGAAAGGUUAGCUAAUACCGCGUACGCCCCUUGGACUUCGGUUCAGGGAGGAAAGCGAUACCGUGGGUAUCGCGCUCUUGGAUGGGCUCAUGUCCUAUCAGCUUUGNGGUGAGGUAACGGCUCACCAAGGCUUCGACGGGUAGCUGGUCUGAGAGGACGAUCAGCCACACUGGCACUGCGACACGGGCCAGACUCCUACGGGAGGCAGCAGUAAGGAAUAUUGCGCAAUGGGCGAAAGCCUGACGCAGCGACGCCGC
RNAcentral lists this ribosomal RNA (381 nucleotides) under uncultured bacterium. Its description in RNAcentral is "bacterial SSU rRNA". It matches the Rfam family "Bacterial small subunit ribosomal RNA", at positions 29 to 400 of the family's 1533-position model. The record is from RNAcentral.